AGAGUUUGAUCCUGGCUCAGAUGAACGCUGGCGGCAGGCCUAACACAUGCAAGUCGAGCGGAUGAGUGGAGCUUGCUCCAUGAUUCAGCGGCGGACGGGUGAGUAAUGCCUAGGAAUCUGCCUGGUAGUGGGGGACAACGUUUCGAAAGGAACGCUAAUACCGCAUACGUCUACGGGAGAAAGCAGGGGACUUUCGGGCCUUGCGCUAUCAGAUGAGCCUAGGUCGGAUUAGCUAGUUGGCGAGGUAACGGCUCACCAAGGCGACGAUCCGUAACUGGUCUGAGAGGAUGAUCAGUCACACUGGAACUGAGACACGGUCCAGACUCCUACGGGAGGCAGCAGUGGGGAAUAUUGGACAAUGGGCGAAAGCCUGAUCCAGCCAUGCCGCGUGUGUGAAGAAGGUCUUCGGAUUGUAAAGCACUUUAAGUUGGGAGGAAGGGCAGUAAGUUAAUACCUUGCUGUUUUGACGUUACCGACAGAAUAAGCACCGGCUAACUUCGUGCCAGCAGCCGCGGUAAUACGAAGGGUGCAAGCGUUAAUCGGAAUUACUGGGCGUAAAGCGCGCGUAGGUGGUUCAGCAAGUUGGAUGUGAAAGCCCCGGGCUCAACCUGGGAACUGCAUCCAAAACUACUGAGCUAGAGUACGGUAGAGGGUGGUGGAAUUUCCUGUGUAGCGGUGAAAUGCGUAGAUAUAGGAAGGA
Molecule: ribosomal RNA, 700 nt
Filed under: uncultured bacterium
Lineage: Bacteria
Description: bacterial SSU rRNA
Rfam family: Bacterial small subunit ribosomal RNA
Source: RNAcentral